Molecule: ribosomal RNA, 253 nt
Filed under: uncultured bacterium
Lineage: Bacteria
Description: partial 16S ribosomal RNA
Rfam family: Bacterial small subunit ribosomal RNA
Source: RNAcentral
UACGAAGGGGGCAAGCGUUGUUCGGAAUCAUUGGGCGUAAAGCGCGUGUAGGCGCCUAUUAAGUCGAGUGUGAAAUCCCUGGGCUCAACCGAGGAAGUGCAUUCGAAACUAAUAGGCUAGAAGAUGGUAGAGGAUGGUGGAAUUCCAGGUGUAGAGGUGAAAUUCGUAGAUAUCUGGAGGAAUACCGGUGGCGAAGGCGGCCAUCUGGGCCAUUCUUGACGCUGAGACGCGAAAGCGUGGGUAGCAAAACAGG